CAUAAAACGAAAGCAGAUUGUUGUGUUUUUCUACUGGCAUGUUAAAACCUAAACUAUAGAUUUUUUUGAUGGAAAGGUGGUAAGAGUGUCCUCUGGUGGUUGUGUCCCUUACUACAUCUCCCUGCUGUCCAUUGGUUGCCUGGUACAUUUCCACUGCGUGAAGCCUCAGACUGCAGCAAGAACGGCCUGAUAGUGAGCUCUGAUGUUCAAAGUCUCGUCUCAGCCGCGGUGGAGAAGUCAGCAGCAUGAAAGGGGUUUUCUUCUGAGGCUUGCACAGUAAUGACAGGCUGGGUCACAGACCCACAUCAGACGAAGGAGGACAAAAGAAACGCCUUCUCUGGCCAAAGCCCUGUAAAGCCGACAUGCUCCUGACUGAGAUUAUGCAACCAUUACAUCCUGAGAACCAGAGAAAAUCACAGCGAUAAUGUCACCGGAGCUACUGUAUGUUUGAUUACGGAUGGAGCUAAACUUUGCAGGACAGUGGCUCUCCAGGACCAGAGCUGCUCAUCCCUGAUUAUGUUAUGCAAACUUGGCUGUCAGGGGAAGAGGAAAGAAUAUGUGUUUUGUAAAGCAAUUGAGAUGAAGACUAAGAGCUGUAGUCUGAAAUAAAAUCAGGGCCAUAAAUCAAGACCUCAAUUGUGGUGUCAAUUGUGAGUUUUCAUCAAACCAGCAGGAAUAUUCAGUCUACAAGAGCAGACUGCAUUUUGGCAUUUUGUAUUUGCAUGAGCAAAGACUACAUAAAAGGGGAAGAGAAAAUUCCCAUCACCAAUAUGUCCAGGUAAAAUGUCUAGGGUUUCAAAAUCAACUAAACUGUUUUGUUAUAUGCUACUUUCAACUUGGCCAAAACAAGACAAGAUAAAGGAAUGUGUCUGGGAGUAAACUUGGAUGUACAAGAGGAAAAAAGGGUAUCCACAUCCAACCUGCAUUGACCACAUAAUACAAUACAAAUGCAUCUCUAUUAUUUAAUCCAAAUUAAUAAACAAAUG
This is a long non-coding RNA of Labeo rohita (rohu), 986 nucleotides long. RefSeq lists it as uncharacterized. The transcript has 5 exons. The record is from RefSeq and is a predicted model, not a curated record. NCBI's taxonomy places the organism in Eukaryota, Metazoa, Chordata, Actinopteri, Cypriniformes, Cyprinidae.